UGGCAAUGCUCGGCUGCUCGUAAGAGCUAAAAAGAAAAGCAGAAGUGGGUCAUGUGCUGGAGGAGGGGAAAGAAUUGAGGGGAAAAGCAGAAGAUGAUCAACAAAUGCUGGUUGAGUUGGAUGACAACACAAGUUGUUAAGAGAAAAGAGGUGAGAUGGGACGAAUCACCUCCACACAAGCGUUAUUCUUCUCCCCAGGGACGAACUGGGUGGGUGACAAGAAAGAGAAAGACAAAGAAAGCAGGAAACAUCUGAGAAAUACAUCGGUAAAUAUACAAACAUGCACUAUGCAACCGAAGAGGAGUUUCUUCCCUCAGGCCAACCAGACUUCCAGCACGCACCUCACUUCUUAACACACUUGCAAUCUCUGCACUCACUGCUGUCUUUGUCACUUUAUCUGUAACGAUUUCCCUGAAAAAUUAUUGCUUUUGGAAAUAACUUCGAAAUAAAUUUGUAUUGCAGA
Long non-coding RNA from Pleuronectes platessa (European plaice), 463 nucleotides. RefSeq lists it as uncharacterized. The record is from RefSeq and is a predicted model, not a curated record. Lineage: Eukaryota; Metazoa; Chordata; Actinopteri; Pleuronectiformes; Pleuronectidae. The transcript has 3 exons.